RNAcentral lists this unclassified non-coding RNA (260 nucleotides) under uncultured fungus. RNAcentral describes it as "partial contains 5.8S ribosomal RNA, internal transcribed spacer 2, and large subunit ribosomal RNA". Lineage: Eukaryota; Fungi. The record is from RNAcentral. RNAcentral also lists the same sequence under 1 other name.
AACGCACAUUGCGCCCAUUGGCAUUCCGAUGGGCAUGCCUGUUCGAGCGUCAUUAUCCUCCCUCAAACCCCUGGGUUUGGUGUUGGACUGUGUGGUGCCUGGCACCACUGGUCUCAAAGACAAUGACGGCGUCCGUGGGACCCUCGGUGCAACGAGCUUUUCGAAGCACGCGUCGAGUGGACAGUCUCUCCGGGCCGGUCACCUCUCCAAAUUUUUCUCAGGUUGACCUCGGAUCAGGUAGGAAUACCCGCUGAACUUAA